AUUGAACGCUGGCGGCAGGCCUAACACAUGCAAGUCGAGCGGAUGAAGGGAGCUUGCUCCUGGAUUCAGCGGCGGACGGGUGAGUAAUGCCUAGGAAUCUGCCUGGUAGUGGGGGAUAACGUCCGGAAACGGGCGCUAAUACCGCAUACGUCCUGAGGGAGAAAGUGGGGGAUCUUCGGACCUCACGCUAUCAGAUGAGCCUAGGUCGGAUUAGCUAGUUGGUGGGGUAAAGGCCUACCAAGGCGACGAUCCGUAACUGGUCUGAGAGGAUGAUCAGUCACACUGGAACUGAGACACGGUCCAGACUCCUACGGGAGGCAGCAGUGGGGAAUAUUGGACAAUGGGCGAAAGCCUGAUCCAGCCAUGCCGCGUGUGUGAAGAAGGUCUUCGGAUUGUAAAGCACUCUAAGUUGGGAGGAAGGGCAGUAAGUUAAUACCUUGCUGUUUUGACGUUACCAACAGAAUAAGCACCGGCUAACUACGUG
RNAcentral lists this ribosomal RNA (484 nucleotides) under uncultured bacterium. RNAcentral's name for it is "partial 16S ribosomal RNA". It matches the Rfam family "Bacterial small subunit ribosomal RNA", at positions 30 to 507 of the family's 1533-position model. The record is from RNAcentral.